This 253-nucleotide ribosomal RNA is filed under the name uncultured bacterium. Its description in RNAcentral is "partial 16S ribosomal RNA". It matches the Rfam family "Bacterial small subunit ribosomal RNA", at positions 524 to 776 of the family's 1533-position model. The record is from RNAcentral.
UACGUAGGGACCAAGCGUUGUUCGGAUUUACUGGGCGUAAAGGGCGCGUAGGCGGCAAUUCAAGUCAUCUGUGAAAUCUCCGGGCUUAACUCGGAAUGGUCAGAUGAUACUGCUUUGCUAGAGUGCAGAAGGGGCAAUCGGAAUUCUUGGUGUAGCGGUGAAAUGCGUAGAUAUCAAGAGGAACACCUGAGGUGAAGACGGGUUGCUGGGCUGACACUGACGCUGAGGCGCGAAAGCUAGGGUAGCAAACGGG